This 266-nucleotide ribosomal RNA is filed under the name uncultured Staphylococcus sp. RNAcentral's name for it is "partial 16S ribosomal RNA". It matches the Rfam family "Bacterial small subunit ribosomal RNA", at positions 96 to 354 of the family's 1533-position model. Lineage: Bacteria; Bacillati; Bacillota; Bacilli; Caryophanales; Staphylococcaceae. The record is from RNAcentral.
CGGCGGACGGGUGAGUAACACGUGGAUAACUUACCUAUAAGACUGGGAUAACUUCGGGAAACCGGAGCUAAUACCGGAUAAUAUAUUGAACCGCAUGGUUCAAUAGUGAAAGACGGUUUUGCUGUCACUUAUAGAUGGAUCCGCACCGCAUUAGCUAGUUGGUAAGGUAACGGCUUACCAAGGCAACGAUGCGUAGCCGACCUGAGAGGGUGAUCGGCCACACUGGAACUGAGACACGGUCCAGACUCCUACGGGAGGCAGCAGGC